GGAGCGGCGCUCUGUUAAAACGAGCAUCUCACAACAGCGGCAGCACCUGAAGACGCUGUUUGCGAGUCAGUUAAACCGGCUCCCAGUGAAAAGCGCUCAAACAGAUUUUUCUUGCUUUAGCUGAACUUGCUCUGGGCUUGUCUGCAGACUGCUAAACGCCAGGCGCUGUGCGGCCGCCUUCAUCGAGUUCAUUUUUACGUUGCAGGUUUUCAAACGCUCUUCCCACAGGUGACUGCGGACCCUCUGCUUGGAACCACAAACCACAGCCAACGACAGAGGGGACCUGCACCGUGGACGCGGCGGCGGUGACAUCACUUCCUGGACACGGCGGUAGCCAAUCGGAUCACAACAGCAAAAAGGACAAGGGGAAAAAGAAGAAGACCCAGCCCGCUGGUCCUACAGAACCGGAUCCCGGGGCAGUGGAGCGGCGCAGAGAGCUGGAGCACUACCUCAAGCUGAAGAGCUCUGGCUGGAUUCAGGAUCGGGGAGGGGACUGGGUGAAGGAUGAGGGCGUGGAAUUCGACUCUGAUGAAGAGACACCCCUCCCUGCUUCCUGAAGCCCUCGACGGAUUUGGCAGGAGGCGGGUUCCCAUCCUCGCUGACGUCCUCUCCUGCAGGAAACUUUUUGGAUUUCAAAUGUUGUUUUUGAGCAGCAGUUCGAUUUUGUGUUUUUUUUUUAAUUCUCUAGAUGGUGGAACUGAAUACCGUCUGCCUUCUUAACCGUCGUCUCUCGCUGGUGUUUUUAUACCUCAUGGGAGAUGUGCUUUUAUAACCUCUCUAGAUAAACUGGGAUAGGGUUAUAAAUUGUCAGGCUGAGCUGUUAAAAUGUUCAAAGCAAUGUGACCUCCUGGAUGACUCUAGCUUUCCCUAGUAACGUUUCCUGCCUAAAUCUCACCCGUGGUCGGGUUUUCAAAGGGGCUCUGCCGGAUGAAAUCAAAAGGUGGGGGUCCCUUCCUAAACCAGGGGGUGCCCAAAGCAGACUGUCCCAUACCCUGUUUUAACCAAAUUAAAUCAAAACUCCGUCCAGACGGUGGAGUUGCUUGCGAUCUCCGUUUCACCUCCUGGAGCAGAGUGGUCGUUCAGAGCCGCGAUUGAUUGGCCAGACGACCCCUGUUCUGAAGGCUUGCAGCUGUUGUCUCCUAAGCUCUCUGCUCCUCCCGUCCUCCGCAGCGAGUAUUUUGAGAGGCUUGUAACCUGAUUCCAGGCUGGAUCAGUUUCGCCCGCUGACCGCCUCAUCUUCUCCUUGGUAUUAAUAAACCCAGAGCAGAGGGCACAGUCCUGGAACCAGGUGGAGGGAUCAAUCCACAGCCAGGGGGUGGGGGGGGGGGGACUUCUCCCUAGAAAUUCCAGCCUUCAAAUGAAACGUCUGGCUGCGAACGGGCAGGUUCAGCCCGGCAAAAUUUUCAGUGUCCACCCGCGAUUUUAAAAAGCGUGCGCUGUGCGUCCAGCAUUGGAUCGCUGUGGGUUUUGUUAAUCUUUUCACACGAUCGCUUUGUUUUACUUCUCUCCUGAGGACAGUGCGUCGUUCUCGACGAAUAACUCUCCUGGUUAAACACGUUUAAAAAAAUAGAUAAACGAAUCGCACAAACAUUGAGGAGACACAACGAGCAAGAAAAAAGAAUUGUUUAUUAUUUA
Polyodon spathula (Mississippi paddlefish) is the source of this 1635-nucleotide long non-coding RNA. RefSeq lists it as uncharacterized. The transcript has 3 exons. The record is from RefSeq and is a predicted model, not a curated record. NCBI's taxonomy places the organism in Eukaryota, Metazoa, Chordata, Actinopteri, Acipenseriformes, Polyodontidae.